GAACGCUGGCGGCGUGCUUAACACCUGCAAGUCGAACGGAAAGGCCCUGCUUUUGUGGGGUGCUCGAGUGGCGAACGGGUGAGUAACACGUGAGUAACCUGCCCUUGACUUUGGGAUAACUUCAGGAAACUGGGGCUAAUACCGGAUAGGAGCUCCUGCUGCAUGGUGGGGGUUGGAAAGUUUCGGCGGUUGGGGAUGGACUCGCGGCUUAUCAGCUUGUUGGUGGGGUAGUGGCUUACCAAGGCUUUGACGGGUAGCCGGCCUGAGAGGGUGACCGGCCACAUUGGGACUGAGAUACGGCCCAGACUCCUAUGGGAGGCAGCAGUGGGGAAUAUUGCACAAUGGGCGGAAGCCUGAUGCAGCAACGCCGCGUGCGGGAUGACGGCCUUCGGGUUGUAAACCGCUUUCGCCUGUGACGAAGCGUGAGUGACGGUAAUGGGUAAAGAAGCACCGGCUAACUACGUG
RNAcentral lists this ribosomal RNA (465 nucleotides) under uncultured bacterium. Its description in RNAcentral is "partial 16S ribosomal RNA". It matches the Rfam family "Bacterial small subunit ribosomal RNA", at positions 31 to 507 of the family's 1533-position model. The record is from RNAcentral.